UACGUAGGUGGCAAGCGUUAUCCGGAUUUAUUGGGCGUAAAGCGAGCGCAGGCGGUUUUUUAAGUCUGAUGUGAAAGCCCUUGGCUCAACCAAUGAAGUGCAUCGGAAACUGGAGAACUUGAGUGCAGAAGAGGAGAGUGGAACUCCAUGUGUAGCGGUGAAAUGCGUAGAUAUCUGGAAGAACACCAGUGGCGAAGGCGGCUGUCUGGUCUGUAACUGACGCUGAGGCUCGAAAGCAUGGGUAGCGAACAGG
This 253-nucleotide ribosomal RNA is filed under the name uncultured bacterium. RNAcentral describes it as "partial 16S ribosomal RNA". It matches the Rfam family "Bacterial small subunit ribosomal RNA", at positions 524 to 776 of the family's 1533-position model. The record is from RNAcentral.